Molecule: ribosomal RNA, 774 nt
Filed under: uncultured Neocallimastigales
Lineage: Eukaryota; Fungi; Neocallimastigomycota; Neocallimastigomycetes; Neocallimastigales
Description: partial large subunit ribosomal RNA
Rfam family: Eukaryotic large subunit ribosomal RNA
Source: RNAcentral
UAUGUGAUCGUCUCUCGCAUAUCAAUAAGCGGAGGAAAAGAAACUAACAAGGAUUCCCCUAGUAACGGCGAGUGAAGCGGGAAGAGCUCAAAUUUGAAAUCUUAAAGGGUUUCCCUUUACGAAUUGUAGUUUAAAGAAGUGUUUUCUGUUGAGGUUUUGGUAAAAGUUCUUUGGAAUAGGACAUCAUAGAGGGUGAGAAUCCCGUAUUUGACCUUUACUUUCAACUUUGUGAUACACUUUCAAAGAGUCGGAUUGUUUGGGAAUGCAGUCCAAAAUGGGUGGUAAAUUUCAUCUAAAGCUAAAUAUUGGCGAGAGACCGAUAGCGAACAAGUACCGUGAGGGAAAGAUGAAAAGAACUUUGAAAAGAGAGUUAAACAGUACGUGAAAUUGUCAAAAGGGAAACGUUUGACACCAGUGUUGUUUUUCUGAAAAUCAAUUAAAGAACUGUUUAUGCUAAGUUGUUUAGACUUUAUCAGCUAACUGCUUAGUUUUGAGCUUUUCUUUAAUAGCACUUUUCAGUUAACAAGUCAACAUCAAUUUCUUUUGCUGUAAAAAAGCUUGAGGAAGGUGGCUUGAGAUUCGUCUUAAGUGUUUAUAGCCUCUUGCCUAUGCAGUCGGAGAGAUUGAGGUCUGCAGCGUAGAUCCUUCGGGGCUAAAUGCAUUUGUGCUAAGUUAUAGCAUUUUAUAGACAACUUGUUGACUAUGAUUUGUCUUGUAGCUUACUCGCUUAUGUUAUUUUACCUACGCUUAGGAUGUUGAGUCAUCACACAUCUC